Molecule: ribosomal RNA, 599 nt
Filed under: Scinax perereca
Lineage: Eukaryota; Metazoa; Chordata; Amphibia; Anura; Hylidae
Description: partial 16S ribosomal RNA
Rfam family: Bacterial large subunit ribosomal RNA
Source: RNAcentral
CAAAAACAUCGCCUCUUGAUUAAAAAUAAGAGGUCCAGCCUGCCCAGUGACAAAUGUUCAACGGCCGCGGUAUCCUAACCGUGCGAAGGUAGCGUAAUCACUUGUUCUUUAAAUGGGGACUAGUAUGAACGGCAUCACGAGGGUUACACUGUCUCCUCUAUCUAAUCAGUGAAACUAAUCUCCCCGUGAAGAAGCGGGGAUUAAUAUAUAAGACGAGAAGACCCUAUGGAGCUUUAAACUUCUCUUAAAGCACUAAACUUUUACUCUAAGUCACUGACCUCUGCCACAUUCACCACGGCGCUAUCAAGAUGAAUUUUAGGUUGGGGUGACCACGGAGUACAAAAAAACCUCCACGCUGAACAGGCCUCCUAACCCUUGAGCAAAGGGCCACAACCCAAAGCACUAAAAAACUAACACCCAUUGACCCAAUUUUAUAUGAUCAACGAACCAAGUUACCCUAGGGAUAACAGCGCAAUCUACUUCAAGAGUUCUUAUCGACAAGUAGGUUUACGACCUCGAUGUUGGAUCAGGGUGUCCCAGUGGUGCAGCCGCUACUAAAGGUUCGUUUGUUCAACGAUUAAUAACCCUACGUGAUCUGA